GGCCUUGUAGCUCAGCUGGUAGAGCAUCGGUGUACAUCCGAAGGUCGUGGGUUCGAAUCCCAGCGAGGUCG
RNAcentral lists this transfer RNA (71 nucleotides) under Exaiptasia diaphana. Its description in RNAcentral is "tRNA-Val". It matches the Rfam family "tRNA". Rfam says of the family: Transfer RNA (tRNA) molecules are approximately 80 nucleotides in length. Lineage: Eukaryota; Metazoa; Cnidaria; Anthozoa; Actiniaria; Aiptasiidae. The record is from Rfam by way of RNAcentral.